Molecule: ribosomal RNA, 1101 nt
Filed under: Rhodococcus ruber
Lineage: Bacteria; Bacillati; Actinomycetota; Actinomycetes; Mycobacteriales; Nocardiaceae
Description: bacterial SSU rRNA
Rfam family: Bacterial small subunit ribosomal RNA
Source: RNAcentral
ACAAUGGGCGCAAGCCUGAUGCAAGGGACCCCGCUUGAGGGAUGACGGCCUUUGGGGUUGUAAACCUUUUUCAGUACCGGAGAAGCGCAAGUGCCGGUAGGUACAGAAGAAGCACCGGCCAACUACGUGCCAGCAGCCGCGGUAAUACGUAGGGUGCGAGCGUUGUCCGGAAUUACUGGGCGUAAAGAGCUCGUAGGCGGUUUGUCGCGUCGUCUGUGAAAACCCGCAGCUCAACUGCGGGCUUGCAGGCGAUACGGGCAGACUUGAGUACUGCAGGGGAGACUGGAAUUCCUGGUGUAGCGGUGAAAUGCGCAGAUAUCAGGAGGAACACCGGUGGCGAAGGCGGGUCUCUGGGCAGUAACUGACGCUGAGGAGCGAAAGCGUGGGUAGCGAACAGGAUUAGAUACCCUGGUAGUCCACGCCGUAAACGGUGGGCGCUAGGUGUGGGUUUCCUUCCACGGGAUCCGUGCCGUAGCUAACGCAUUAAGCGCCCCGCCUGGGGAGUACGGCCGCAAGGCUAAAACUCAAAGGAAUUGACGGGGGCCCGCACAAGCGGCGGAGCAUGUGGAUUAAUUCGAUGCAACGCGAAGAACCUUACCUGGGUUUGACAUACACCGGACCGCCCCAGAGAUGGGGUUUCCCUUGUGGUCGGUGUACAGGUGGUGCAUGGCUGUCGUCAGCUCGUGUCGUGAGAUGUUGGGUUAAGUCCCGCAACGAGCGCAACCCUUGUCCUGUGUUGCCAGCACGUAAUGGUGGGGACUCGCAGGAGACUGCCGGGGUCAACUCGGAGGAAGGUGGGGACGACGUCAAGUCAUCAUGCCCCUUAUGUCCAGGGCUUCACACAUGCUACAAUGGCCGGUACAGAGGGCUGCGAUACCGCGAGGUGGAGCGAAUCCCUUAAAGCCGGUCUCAGUUCGGAUCGGGGUCUGCAACUCGACCCCGUGAAGUCGGAGUCGCUAGUAAUCGCAGAUCAGCAACGCUGCGGUGAAUACGUUCCCGGGCCUUGUACACACCGCCCGUCACGUCAUGAAAGUCGGUAACACCCGAAGCCGGUGGCCUAACCCCUCGUGGGAGGGAGCCGUCGAAGGUGGGAUCGGCGAU